Molecule: long non-coding RNA, 5923 nt
Filed under: Gossypium raimondii (Peruvian cotton)
Lineage: Eukaryota; Viridiplantae; Streptophyta; Magnoliopsida; Malvales; Malvaceae
Description: long non-coding RNA (GRAI_LNC011245)
Source: RNAcentral
AUAUAAUCCACUCUCUCAUACAUGAUCAUGGAUGAAAAUGGGAUCCGCAGGCCGAACUUCCCUCUUCAGCUCCUAGAAAAGAAGGAACAACCUCGUUCCGACCCUGCCGACGUCGACACCAGCUCCAAACCAACCUUGGAACCUCCCUCCAAGAAACCUCCACCUAAGAGGACUUCGACCAAGGACCGGCACACCAAAGUGGAAGGCCGAGGCCGUCGCAUCCGCAUGCCGGCUACGUGUGCUGCUAGGGUUUUCCAGCUAACAAGGGAGCUUGGUCACAAAUCAGAUGGUGAAACCAUUGAGUGGUUGCUCCAACAAGCUGAGCCUGCGGUUUUUGCUGCCACGGGGACAGGUACUAUCCCUGCAAAUUUCACGUCCCUUAAUAUUUCACUAAGAAGUUCAGGUUCUAGCAUGUCGGCUUCACACUUAAGGAACACUUAUUUCAAUCCAAAUUUUACCACACAACAAUUGAGGACGAGGAGUGAAUGGGAUCAAAGGAAUGUCCUUGACGAUUCAUCUCAACAACAACAACAGCAACGAAGGGUUUUAUUUCCUGGUGUUGCUUUAUCAUCUGAAGAUUCAUUGACCUUUCCUGGUACUAGUAGCACUACUUUGAACGCUUUCUUGCAAGCAAAGCAAGAGAUUCGGGACGCCGAGGCCGCGGAUACUAGUAUAGGGAAGAGGAGGAGGCCGGAGCAGCAAGAAUCGCCACAAAAUCAGGUGGGAAGUUACUUGAUACAAUCUAAUACGGGUUCGAUUCCGACAAGUCAUAAUCCGAUCCCGGCGACAUUUUGGAUCGGCAACCAAGUCAUCAGUGGGAGUGGCACUGGGGAUCCCAUGUGGACAUUUCCUUCAACAAAUAACACUAAUAUGUAUAGGGGUACUAUGUCUAGUGGGGUGCAUUUUAUGAAUUUAGCCGCUCCAAUGGCUCUCCUCCCUGCCCAACAAUUUGGUUCCGGAAUCGGUGCCGGUGGCAGCUCAGUUACAGACACUCAUUUAAGUAUGCUGGCGUCACUAAACGCUUAUAGACCAGUUCCGGGUAUUGGUGUUUCCGAGCCUCCGGCCGGAGGAUCACAUCAACACCACGGUGGAGAAAAUAGGCAUGAUUCAACUAGCUAGUGUUCAACAAGUGUAUGGCUUUCAUGCUUUAUUCUUUUUAUUGGUUUUUCUUAAAAUAAAAAAGACUAAAAUACAUUUAGAUAAUAUAAUUUAUUUUAAUUAUGGAUGAACAUUUUUAUUGAUACCAAUUCAAUUAUAAACUUAAAUAAUAAUAUAAAUUAAUGAUAUAUAUAAAUUCAAUCCGACUCAGUUGGCAUUUUAUUAGCCAACAGCAGCACCUAGUAGGUCUUAAAGUUGUUUUCUAAAUCAAAAUUUUUGUUGUACAAAAUAUUCUACUCAAUUAGGCCUAACAUUUAUUUGCAUUUGAAUUUUCUUCUCUAUAUAUUUGCUUGACUUGGCCAUUGCAUUUUUGUACACAAAAUUUUUAGAGUCAAUUUCGAAGGCGUUUCAAAAGGGUUUUUUUGUUUUUAAAAAGAAAUAUAUAUGAACAAAAGAAAAAAGAGUAUAAGGUAGAGAAGUCAUAGGAAAAAGUCUUAAAAGAGAAAAUGACCCACUCCUCUUCUUUCAUACAGCCAUGGAUGAUGGUGGAAUUUUCUUUAUUGGCUUUAGCCAGCCUUUUUCUUCCCAAACAGUUAAUCUGUCAAUUUUUUAAAUCAAAUUUUUUAUUAAUUAAGAUAAAGUAACUUUUAGUUGUUGGAUUGGAAGUUUUUUCCUAUCUUGCUCCUUUUCAAUUUUUUUAGUCUAUAUUAGUAUUAAAAUUUUGCAGUUUUUUUAAUUUGGUACUGGCAUUUGGAUUUAGCUAAGGUAUGAUGAUGUGCCACUUUGAGAUUAAGCGAUGGUUUGGUACAAUCCCAGAGUGUUAUAUCAUCGUACUUAACGGAAUCCAAGUUCAUGGGCCAAGUUAGGAAAAGUUACCAAAUUCUAGGACUAUUGUGGAGUGUGUACAAAAGAAGUUCAAGGACCAAAUUGAAAAAAAAUUGCAACAUUUUUAGUCCACAUUAGUCUUGAAACUUUGUACCUUUCUCAAUUUGGUCCAUGCACUUAGAUUUUGUUAAGACAUGAUGACGUAACACUUUGAGAUUAUACCAUAUUAUCACUUGAUUUUUUUAAAAAAAGAAAUAAAAAUGUUAUAAUAUUUAAUAUUUUAUUUAGAUUUAAUAUAAGUUUUUAAAUUUUCAAAUGAUGAUUUGAUAUAAAUAUCAUAGUGUCACAUCAUCAUGCUGGUGGAUGAAAUUGAAAAAAAAAAACCAAAAUCCAAAACAAUUAUGGAUGAAAGAAAUGAAAGUUGAUAUAAUUGGGAGGAAGCCAAGCUGCGAUUCCUUCUAAUUUUAUUACUAUGCUUCUAAGACUUUCUCACUGCUAUUUGAAUAUAAAAUUUCAAAUACAUUACAAAUUAUACAAAAAUUUAUAAUCACAUUUAAUAAUUAUAUUCAUUUGUCAUUCCACUAUUCAAACACAGCAAAAAUAUUAUUACUAUUAUUAUAAUAUCUACACCCUUAAAAUAGGAGGAUAAUGCGCUUGAGCGUACUUGAACCCGCAUCCUCCCGCACUCAUAACAAUAUCAAUACCAAUUGAAUUAAAACUUAAUAAAAUAAAAUAUAAAAUUUCAAAAAAAUUCUGAAAUAUUCUCAUUUAUGAACAGAUGUUAAAAGGGUAACAUCUUAUCCGAUUGUUGUUAAUGAUAUUCAAAGAAAGAGAGCGGCCAGCUUGACCCAGAAAGGGAAGAAAUUAAGGGGGUGAUUUACAACUAACAUUCCGGUUAAAUAAUUAGACACAAAAAUGGAGGGUAAGCCAUCAGCAUCACCGGCAAAAGAUGGCAAGCCACGUGAUCUCUUCCCCAAUGGGGGACUAUUUUCCACUCAUAUAUUUAUAAACUUUGUUUGGAAUUUAGGCAAAAUUUGAUUUAAGAGAAAUUUAAAAAAAAAAAAAAACAAAUUCUUUUACAUAAUUAAAUUUAAUAAAUUUAAGCGGAAGAGGAACACCCACAUAGGAUUUCUUCUAUUACCCAAAUAAAAAUAAAAAAACACUUUGUAUUGAAAUGAAGAUGAUUGCAUGUUUUUGUACAUCACUGCUGUGGUCCAAAUCCCAUUAUUAUUGGUCCAAGAGUUAAUGCUAAAAUUGCUUAGAUCAAAUGCAAAAUAGUAAUAAUAUCAAUAAUUUGAUGAAUGAAAAGAUAAAACGAUGUGAGAUAUACUGCAUAUGAGACCCUUUAUUUAUUUUUACAAUCGGCUUGCCAGAAAAUAUUAAUUUUAAAUUAUUUUAAAAAAGGUAAUAUUGAAUAGAAUUUAUACAACUUCCCUUGUCCAUGCGUACACCCUCAACUCUUAUUAUUACUUACAUAAAAUAUAACAUUUGUAAAGUUUCAGAUAAAAAAAGUAUUAAUUCUUCUAUGUGGUGUUCAUCAGGACAACUUUAACAUUAUUGGUUUCAUAUCAAGAAUCAUUGUGCUGUAUGAUUUUCUUUUAACAAGGCUUCAACUCAAGAGUGAUUAGGAUAAAAUUAAAAAUUUUGGAAGAUAAAGCUAAAGAAUUAUUCAUUUAACAUAAAAGCUAAAAAUAAUUAAAAUUUAAGAGGACUAAAAAAGAAUUAAACCAUAUAUCCAAAGAGGCAAAUGCCACUGUCUGCGUACACACCAUUGUUUUGUUACAUGCAUGUUAAGGUGUAGGGAACUUGAAAUGACAAUGUACUGGGGUUUUUUUCCCUUCAAAAUCACGAAGAUUUAGUAAAACAAAAAAGAAAUGAAAAAGUUAAAACAAGAAAGGUGACAUAUUAAGGAAGGGUCAUAAUCAAGAGGAAGAAGGGUGAUUAGUGGAGAUUUAGAGGGAAAAAAUGAUUAGAGAAGAUGGAAUUAUGAGAUAGUUAGGUAUGUUGGUUGUUGAAAUAGAUUUUGGAAGUCGCUAUAUUUUAGGCAAUGUGCUUGUUUUUGUUCCCUUUUAAGCUACACUUCGGCCUGUUAGGCACAUGGGUUAGACGUGCUAUGCCUUCUCUCUCAUUCCUCUUUGCUGGUGGGUCUUUCUUAUGUGUACUAUAUGUAUACAUAUACACAUAUGGUAUAAUUCAAGUUGUUUUAUUCAUGCUUACGGAUGAAUUAUAAAAAUAUUAGUCGUAUAAAAAUUUACAUAUAAGUAUGUAAAAUUAGUUAAGUUUUACACUAGUAUGAGUAAAUAUAUUGAUUGCUCGAAAAAAAGAAGAAGGGAUUUUAGAUAUUAAGACUAGAACUCUCUUUUUAUGCCAAAUUAAAGUGUAAUGAUUAAAUUUAAAGUUUGAACAUACUAGAGGGACCAAAACGAUAAUUUAUUGAAUAAAAGUUUUAGGUUAAUUUUUUUUAACCAGAUUUUCUUUUUUAGUUAGAGUGUGCUUAGACACCACAAAAUAAUUGGAUAAAACUAUAAUUACUAAACUAGUAAUUGCAUCCUCUUAUAAUUACAAAGAAUUCUAAUUCUAAUUCUUUAGACGUAUUUGAUUGACAAUGCGUAAUUACAUUAUAUUUAUCUAUGUUAUCCGAAUGAUUUUUCGUUCUUUUUACUAUUAUGUCCCAACAAAAUUUGGCAUAAAAGAAAAGUUUAUAUUCUUUCACCUUAUCUAACACCACAUUCCUCAUGCACAACGUUCAAUUGGUCGGAAGAUUUAGACUAUUGAUCUUAUGAAAUGUUCCCCUGCUCCUACAAAACUUGAAAAUAAAUAGAGAUGAAAGCCUUUAAUGGAAAAUGGAAUAAAAGGCAUAUUUUGGGUAUAUAAGCUUUUUAAACAAUACUUUCAAGGACCACACACACACAUAUAUAAUAUUGCAGACUGUAUGGCUCACAUGUUCAAAGAUGGAGACCUGAAAAGUGUUGGGUAUUGACUCAGAAAUCUACUGAAAGAUUUUUCAUCACGUAUCCUUCACUCUCAUCCCCAAUAAACGGAUUUUCUUCUUGGAAGAGUUUUUAAGAAAAACCAUUAACAAGUAAAGGAAUUAUUUAGAGGUAAACUUUAGUUUUAAAAUUAAGGCAAUGAUUACAAGAAUGGAAUGGGGACCACUUUAUUAUAUCUAAAUAAUUUGCCUUUCCCUUUUGUAUAAUUUAACGAUGGAGAGGGAGUGAUUGAGGUUUUUUGAGUAAGGGGACGCGGGGCCCACCACUGUCUUUAUGGAUUGAAUGAUAAAAGAGCACCGCACGUGGAGUUUGAAUCAAGGGACUAUCCAACCACAAUAAUAUGAUUUUAUUUUAUUUCACAAGAAAUAUAGAAAAGAGAAAAUUACAAAGAGGUCCUCAAUGAAACGAAUUAUUUCCCAUCCGAAAAAAGUCACUGCUUUUCUUUCAUAGCCCACCCUCAUAAUUCUCACUCAUUGUACUUGUUGCUUAAAGCUUGCCCUCUUCCCCUUAUCCCCUCUCUCUCUUUGGUCUGUGCAGAGAUAUGAAAACCAACUCAGCAGCUUCAAUCUUCCCCAUCUAAAGGGAAUUCCAAGCUACACAACACAACAUCAUAUAGCAAAAAUGAAAGAGACCCACUAGGCCAUCAAAGUCACUGAAUUGAGGGUCACCUUCAGAUCAUGUACUAGGACCAAAAAGAUAUAAUCCCACUCUCUCAUACAUGAUCAUGGAUGAAAAUGGGAUCCGCAGGCCGAACUUCCCUCUUCAGCUCCUAGAAAAGAAGGAACAACCUCGUUCCGACCCUGCCGACGUCGACACCAGCUCCAAACCAACCUUGGAACCUCCCUCCAAGAAACCUCCACCUAAGAGGACUUCGACCAAGGACCGGCACACCAAAGUGGAAGGCCGAGGCCGUCGCAUCCGCAUGCCGGCUACGUGUGCUGCUAGGGUUUUCCAGCUAACAAGGGAGCUUGGUCACAAAUCAGAUGGUGAAACCAUUGAGUGGUUGCUCC